Molecule: ribosomal RNA, 465 nt
Filed under: uncultured Klebsiella sp.
Lineage: Bacteria; Pseudomonadati; Pseudomonadota; Gammaproteobacteria; Enterobacterales; Enterobacteriaceae
Description: bacterial SSU rRNA
Rfam family: Bacterial small subunit ribosomal RNA
Source: RNAcentral
CCUACGGGAGGCUGCAGUGGGGAAUAUUGCACAAUGGGCGCAAGCCUGAUGCAGCCAUGCCGCGUGUGUGAAGAAGGCCUUCGGGUUGUAAAGCACUUUCAGCGGGGAGGAAGGCGGUGAGGUUAAUAACCUCAUCGAUUGACGUUACCCGCAGAAGAAGCACCGGCUAACUCCGUGCCAGCAGCCGCGGUAAUACGGAGGGUGCAAGCGUUAAUCGGAAUUACUGGGCGUAAAGCGCACGCAGGCGGUCUGUCAAGUCGGAUGUGAACUCCCCGGGCUCAACCUGGGAACUGCAUUCGAAACUGGCAGGCUAGAGUCUUGUAGAGGGGGGUAGAAUUCCAGGUGUAGCGGUGAAAUGCGUAGAGAUCUGGAGGAAUACCGGUGGCGAAGGCGGCCCCCUGGACAAAGACUGACGCUCAGGUGCGAAAGCGUGGGGAGCAAACAGGAUUAGAUACCCCGGUAGUC